This is a non-coding RNA of Nicotiana tabacum (common tobacco), 4899 nucleotides long. Lineage: Eukaryota; Viridiplantae; Streptophyta; Magnoliopsida; Solanales; Solanaceae. The record is from RefSeq and is a predicted model, not a curated record.
UACGCUCCACUUAGUUAAAAAUGUAGCGAAAAGAUGAUUUUUCCCUUUCCAUUUAAAAGGCGUCUUUCGUCUGUAUUUCUAGGUUUCUUUCUAUCAAUGUUUCUCUUUCUCUCGUCUGUGUUCGUUUUUCUUGUUAAAUUUUCAGAUUUCUCUAACGGAAGAACAACAGUCUUUUUUUUCGACAAGGUUUAGUAUCCAUUACAGGUAUGAUUUUAGUAUUUCACAUUUUUUCUAUGCUUCAAUUUGCCUAUUAUGCGGUAAUAUAAUGAUGGUUUUUCUAUUUUUGUUGAUGUUCUGUAUGUUUAGUCUAAUCAUGUUUAAUGUUUAAAGUAAAGGCAAUUAGUUUAAACCCUAGUAUUUCAUUGAUUAGUGGUAAAAUUACUAGUUUUUAUGGUUUAAUUUGUGUUAUUGGAGCUUUAAACUCUCAUUUUUUGUUAUAAUUUAUUUCUAUAUGUGUUUUUGGAUUAAUUGUGAUGAAUCUAAUGAUGAUGAAAUAUUGCAUUGUUCAAAACUUCAUAUUUUGAAGUAUUCCGAAGUAAGCUCUUUUCAGAGGCUAACUUAAGAGACAUGAUUUUUAAAGUAUUUUGAAGUUAGCUCAUAGGCUAACUUCAGAUAUAUAAUUCAUGAAGUUAUAUAUGUUUAUUCUGUGAUUUCUUGUGAGGUUUUUUGGUUUAUGUUUUGUACAUAUGUUUAUUUUAAUCAUGUUUGGUGUUUAAAAAAAGACGAAUAGUUUAGACCCUUGUCUUUCAUUGAUUGUUUUUAGGGUUUAACUUGUUUUAGGUUUUGAUGCAUGUUGUAGUUUCAAGCUAUCAUUUUGUGUGAUACUUUAUUUCUGUGGGUGUUUUUGGAUUUUUGUAAUAAAGCUAAUGAUGAUGAAGUAUGACAUUGUUCAAAACUUCAUAUUCUGAAGUAUUCUGAAGUAAGUUCUUUCCGGAGGCUAUCUUCAGAGACAUGAUUCAUGAAGUGUUUAGAAAUUAGCUCUUUUCAGAGGUUAAAUUCAUAUAAAUGUUUUUAUGAAGUUAUAUAUGUUUAUUCUGUGAUUUCUUGUAAGGUAUGGUUGUGUUGAACAUUGUAGUAUUUUCUUAAAAUGAUGGCACUUAGAAGCCAAGAAAGUAGCGUAUAUGAAGCUGGUAGAGAGCAAGGACGAGGAGGAGAAGAGGACGAAUAAAGAGAGGUACAAGAAGGCCAAGAAGGAGGCGAAGCUAGCGGUUACAUCGGCUACGACUGUAGCGUUUAGACAUUUGUAUGAAUAUCUUAGGGAUAAAGGUGGGGACAAGAAGCUGUACAGACUAACCAAGGCGAGAAAAAGGAAGGCCCAUGACCGAGACCAAGUGAAGUGCAUCAAAGAUGAGGAAGGCAGAGUAUUAGUGGAAGAGGCACAUAUUAGACGUAGAUGACAAACAUACUUCCAUAAAUGCCUAGAUAAGGAGGGGAAAGAGUCAUUGAGUUGGGUGAUUUGGAGUACUUCGAGAGUCGUCGAGAUUUUAGUUAUUGUAGGUGUAUAAGAAUUGAGGAGGUCGAGGGGGCUAUGCAUAAGAUGAGUAGGGAAAGAGCGAGUGGGCCAGACGAGAUCCCGGUGGAAGUUUUGGAAGAGUGUGGGUAUGGAAAACUUGGAAUGGCUCACUCGGUUAUUUAACAACAUUUUUAGGACGAAGAAGAUGCCUGAAGAAUGGAGGUAGAGUACGAUAAUUUCGCUGUAUAAGAAUAAGGGUGAUAUACAAAAUUAUAACAAACUAUAGGGGUAUCAAGGUGCUGAGCCAUACUGUAAAAGUUUGGGAGAGUGUGAUGGAAGCAAGGGUGAGAAGGAGUGUAUCUAUUUCUGAAAAUCAGUUCGAAUUCAUGUCGGGGUGUUCGUCUACGGAAGCCAUUCACCUUGUAAGGAGGUUGGUGGAGCAGUAUAAGGAAGAGGAAGAUGGACUUACAUAUGGUGUUCAUUGACCUAGAGAAAGCAUACGCCAAACUCCCAAGGGAGGUUCUAUAGAGAUUCUUGGACGUUAGAGGUGUUCAUAUUGCUUACACUACAGUGAUUAAGGACAUGUAUGAUGGAUCUAAAAGCCAGGUAAGGAUAGUGGGGGAGGGGGUCUCGGAACACUUUACAGUUAUGAUGGAGUUGCAUCAGGGGUCAGCUCUUAGCCCGUUCUUAUUUGCAUUCGCGAUGGACACACUGACGCAACACAUUCAAGGGGAGGUGCCUUGGUGUAUAUUAUAUGCAUAUGAUAUUGGAUUGAUUGAUUAGACACAAGGUAGUUUAAAUGAGAAACUAGAGGUCUGGAGACAAACCCUGGAGUCUAAAGGUUUCAAGUUGAGUAGGACCAAGACAGAAUACUUGGAGUGCAAGUUUAGUGACAGGCCCAAUGAAGAGGAUGUGGACGUGAGGCUUAAUACACAAGUUAUCCCUAGGAGAGAUAGUUUUAAGUAUCUUGUGUCUAUUAUCUAAGAAAAUAGGGAGAUUGAUGGGGAUUUUGCACAUCGUAUCGGAGCAAGGUGGGUGAAAUAGAGACUCGCAUCUGGUGUGUUAUGUGAUAAGAACGUACCACCUAAAUUUAAAGGUAAGUUCUACAGAGUGGUUGUUAAACCAAUUAUGUUGUAUGGGGCAGAGUGUUGGCCAGUCAAGAACUUUCAUGUUCGGAAGAUGAGAGUAGCAUAAAUGAAGAUGUUGAGAUAGAUGUGCGGGCAUACCAGGAUGGAUAAGAUUAGGAAUGAAUAUGUUCGGGCCACGGUAGGAGUGCUCCGGUGGAAGACAAGAUGCGGGAAGCAAGGCUUAGAUGGUUUGGGCAUGUGAAAAGGAGGAGCGCAAAUGCCUCGGGGAGGAGGUGUGAGAGGUUGUCCCUGGUGGGUUUGAGGAGAGGCAAAGGUAGUCCAAAGAAGUAUUCGGGAGAGGUGAUUAGGCAAGAUAUGACGUUGCUUCAGCUUACCGAGGACAUGACACUUGACAGGAAGGUAUGGAGGUCAAGAAAUAAGGUAGAAGGCUAGUAGGUUGUCGAAAGUAUCUCUUUUACAUACCAGUAGCAUUAGUGUUAGUCCGGUGCGAUAUUAUUGUUAGAUAUCUAGUUUUAUGUGUUGUCCUCUUUACUUCGUUAUCUUGUUGUUGUUAAUGCUUAUGCUACUACUUUAUUUUCAUCUUGCCUUGAACGGAGGAUCUAUCAGAAACAUCCUCUCUACCUACCAGGUAUGAUAAGAUCUGCGUACACACUAUCCUCCCCAAACCCUACUUAUGAGAUUAUAUUGUAUUUGUUGUUGUUGUUGUAAUAUAUCAGUGUAAUCCUUAUAGAUCCCAUCUGAUGGGUCACAACUUGAACUAAGUUCUAAGAGGAGAAAGUUAUCCCCCCAUGUCACUGAUAUCCCUCAAUUCGAUAUUUGUUCAUUUUCACUUGGCACUACAAGAGAGCCCUGUAGAAGGCGAAUCUUCUUUUGUUGCUACUCAAGUAACAAAAUAAUGUCAUACGCAAGAGGUUGUUGCAGAGCAAUUUGUUGCUAUGUGUGUGGAUGGUUCAGCUGCAUCUGAAGCAACGAUUUAAGUUGAUACCGAACAACAGCAGGAUGAAGCACAUCCAAUACCAGCUGAAGUAGGUGCUUUAGGGAAAAAGAAUUGCAAUCUCAGUCAUUGGUUGAGAAUCUAUAUGUCACUCAUAAGACAAAGAUAAAGGGUGCAUAUACGAAAAAAGAUAAGCAUGUAAGACGAUGUUCAUUCCAUUAUGUGAAGCAAGAUAAACAAAUAUUGCAGAGAUUUACAAAAUGGUUGAAGGCGAGCAAGCGGGAACAUGAGUGUACGUUCAAUUUGGGUUCACUCACAUUGGAUAAGUCGUUCCUUUUAGAACUUACAUACCCUAACUUUGAUCUUGUGGACAAGGUAUGUGACCGGAUCCUAAAUUAGUUGUACACUUCAGAUGUCAUACUUUAUGUUUUCUUUUAUGUAUAUGUUUCUAAUAUUUUCUAUUUUUUUGCUCUGUUGAGCAUAUCGAUAUUGGGGUAUACUAUUAGCACAAUAAAAAUUGCUAUCACCUUUUGGAUUAUCCAUAAUCAAAAUGCACUACAACUGAUUUGGUUUUCAAUAAGUUUGUGGUCAAACUUGCUAUAGAGUGUUCGUUAGAAGAGGAUAAGAAGAAACUUGUGUCUAAGCAGUUAAAGAGUAAACCAAAGACGAAGAGGGGUAGGAAGAAAGAAGUUGAGGUAGGUGUACCCAUACAACCAAAUGAACUUAAUGAAUUCACUUGGUUUGAAGAAGAAUUAACUAGGCAUAAGACGGCUAAUUAUAUAAUAAGCAUUGAACACUCAUGUUUAAUCUCGUGGGUUUAUGUCGAUAGAGUGUUUAUUUCAAUUGUCUUGAUCAAAUAGCUGAAGAUCAAUUAUAAACUCAUUACUUGUUGGGAGUGUUGGAAUUUAAAACAAAAACAAUAUAUGUGUAUGACUCCUUACACAAUAAACCGUACGAGAGGGCAAUAAAGCUCAUCAAACGUUUUGCUCGACUUAUCCCACAUAUGCUCAAAUGUAUGAAUUUUUGUGGUGAACAUAAAGACUACAAAAACGAUGUUACUGAAUUUGAGAUCAAGUGAAUGGUUACACCCCAACAGGAGAACAAUUUUGAUUUCGGUGUAUUCACCCUCAAGUUUAUUGCAUUGUUGAUCAAGCAGGAAGAUGUUCACAAAUUCCAACAGAGUGAUGCUUCUCUUCAGAAAAUAAUUGGUUGUCAACCUGCUCUUCAGAAGUAGAUUCUGCGAUCACGAAGGGUAUCACUGGACAAACCCUUAAGUACUCUAUUUUGAGGGUUUUGGUUAUUUUAUCACAUUUUAAGAUCUAGAGCUCAGAUUUGGGUGAUUUUAGAGGGAAUUUUCACUAUUUGGAUUGGGGUAAGUGUUAUUGACUCGGAUUUGUUUAUUAUUCAUCCUUGAUUUUAGCGUU